GUAGCCCCAGGGAAACUGACUAUGAAAAACAACUGCAGCAUAAUUAUAGAUAUAAAUGCAAACAAAAGGAAAUUCUAAGUGAGGCAUGAAGGAUAGUGUGAAAAAAAAAAAGGAAAGUUGAGUACUUAAUAUAUUUUAUAAUAGUUUUGACAUCUCUCUUAGAAGUAGGUCACACUGAAUUCAAUGGGAUUUAAUGCAAGGGCUACCAGCAGGCAAAACCACAGUGAGUGAAAUAGCAUCAAGCAAAUCUGCACACCAAGGCAAGAAGAAAUUGAGGAAGAGUUAUUUCAAGUAUUACUUAAUCACAACAAACCAAUAAUUUAACCCUGAGCUACAUACAUUCUCCACUAUUAUGUUUAAGAAUUCAUUAAUUAAGAUGCUGGAUCUGCAAAAGAAAUUCAGAUCUUGGAAUCAAUACAAACUGAUUAUAUA
Pantherophis guttatus is the source of this 432-nucleotide non-coding RNA. Lineage: Eukaryota; Metazoa; Chordata; Lepidosauria; Squamata; Colubridae. The record is from RefSeq and is a predicted model, not a curated record.